AUUGAACGCUGGCGGCAGGCCUAACACAUGCAAGUCGAACGGUAACAGGAAGCAGCUUGCUGCUUUGCUGACGAGUGGCGGACGGGUGAGUAAUGUCUGGGAAACUGCCCGAUGGAGGGGGAUAACUACUGGAAACGGUAGCUAAUACCGCAUAACGUCGCAAGACCAAAGAGGGGGACCUUAGGGCCUCUUGCCAUCGGAUGUGCCCAGAUGGGAUUAGCUAGUAGGUGGGGUAACGGCUCACCUAGGCGACGAUCCCUAGCUGGUCUGAGAGGAUGACCAGCCACACUAGAACUGAGACACGGUCCAGACUCCUACGGGAGGCAGCAGUGGGGAAUAUUGCACAAUGGGCGCAAGCCUGAUGCAGCCAUGCCGCGUGUAUGAAGAAGGCCUUCGGGUUGUAAAGUACUUUCAGCGGGGAGGAAGGGAGUAAAGUUAAUACCUUUGCUCAUUGACGUUACCCGCAGAAGAAGCACCGGCUAACUACGUG
This 490-nucleotide ribosomal RNA is filed under the name uncultured bacterium. RNAcentral describes it as "partial 16S ribosomal RNA". It matches the Rfam family "Bacterial small subunit ribosomal RNA", at positions 30 to 507 of the family's 1533-position model. The record is from RNAcentral.